Molecule: ribosomal RNA, 718 nt
Filed under: uncultured Methanoculleus sp.
Lineage: Archaea; Methanobacteriati; Methanobacteriota; Methanomicrobia; Methanomicrobiales; Methanomicrobiaceae
Description: bacterial SSU rRNA
Rfam family: Archaeal small subunit ribosomal RNA
Source: RNAcentral
UUUGGGUUGAUCCUGCCGGAGGCCACUGCUAUCGGGGUUCGAUUAAGCCAUGCGAGUCGAGAGGGUUUAAACCCUCGGCGGACUGCUCAGUAACACGUGGAUAACCUGCCCUAGGGAAGGGGAUAAUCCCGGGAAACUGGGGAUAAUACCCUAUAGGUUACAGAUGCUGGAAUGCUCUGUAAUCAAAAGUUCCGGCGCCCUAGGAUGGAUCUGCGGCCGAUUAGGUUGUUGUUGGGGUAAUGGCCCAACAAGCCAGUAAUCGGUACGGGUUGUGGGAGCAAGAGCCCGGAGUUGGAUUCUGAGACACGAAUCCAGGCCCUACGGGGCGCAGCAGGCGCGAAAACUUUACAAUGCGGGCAACCGUGAUAAGGGAACCUCGAGUGCCUGUAAAUGCAGGCUGUUCAGAUGCCUAAAACACAUCUGGAGAAAGGGCCGGGCAAGACCGGUGCCAGCCGCCGCGGUAAUACCGGCGGCUCGAGUGGUGGCCACUUUUAUUGGGCUUAAAGCGUUCGUAGCUGGGUUGAUAAGUCUCUUGGGAAAUCUGGCGGCUUAACCGUCAGGCGUCUAAGGGAUACUGGCAAUCUUGGAACCGGGAGAGGUGAGAGGUACUUCGGGGGUAGGAGUGAAAUCCUGUAAUCCUCGAGGGACCACCUGUGGCGAAGGCGCCUCACCAGAACGGCUUCGACAGUGAGGGACGAAAGCUGGGGGAGCAAACCGG